CUCUCGGGUGACGAGUGGCGGACGGGUGAGUAAUGUCUGGGGAUCUGCCCGAUAGAGGGGGAUAACCACUGGAAACGGUGGCUAAUACCGCAUAACGUCGCAAGACCAAAGAGGGGGACCUUCGGGCCUCUCACUAUCGGAUGAACCCAGAUGGGAUUAGCUAGUAGGCGGGGUAACGGCCCACCUAGGCGACGAUCCCUAGCUGGUCUGAGAGGAUGACCAGCCACACUGGAACUGAGACACGGUCCAGACUCCUACGGGAGGCAGCAGUGGGGAAUAUUGCACAAUGGGCGCAAGCCUGAUGCAGCCAUGCCGCGUGUAUGAAGAAGGCCUUCGGGUUGUAAAGUACUUUCAGCGGGGAGGAAGGCGAUGUGGUUAAUAACCGCGUCGAUUGACGUUACCCGCAGAAGAAGCACCGGCUAACUCCGUGCCAGCAGCCGCGGUAAUACGAGAGGGUGCAAGCGUUAAUCGGAAUUACUGGGCGUAAAGCGCACGC
This 496-nucleotide ribosomal RNA is filed under the name Pantoea ananatis. Its description in RNAcentral is "bacterial SSU rRNA". It matches the Rfam family "Bacterial small subunit ribosomal RNA", at positions 81 to 572 of the family's 1533-position model. The record is from RNAcentral. Lineage: Bacteria; Pseudomonadati; Pseudomonadota; Gammaproteobacteria; Enterobacterales; Erwiniaceae.